Molecule: unclassified non-coding RNA, 218 nt
Filed under: Hevea brasiliensis (rubber tree)
Lineage: Eukaryota; Viridiplantae; Streptophyta; Magnoliopsida; Malpighiales; Euphorbiaceae
Source: RNAcentral
AUAUUUAAUUAUUUAUUAUUUUAGUAUGAAUUAGCGCCUCACUUCGCUCGGGCGAGCACCUAGGCAAGUGGGGGUGUGCAUUAUUUGGUUAUAAUCAAAUAAUUGAACCGAACCAAUGAAAUUCAGUUAUUUCGAUAAAAGUAAAUUCGGUUCGGUUUGGUUUUCGGUUAGUACUAAUAUAAAUUUUCAGUUUUCGAUUAUCGGUUCGUUUACCUUUG